CAGCACCUCCCUGGUUGCCGUGGCGACCGAGGGCGCGCGGCGGGAGCUCCCCGCCCAGCGCUUGCUGCUCCUGAGGUCGGUUCGCGCCAGCUGCUCCGGCCAGGCGCGGCGCCGGACUCGGGACGUGGGGCCUGCACAGGCCGGCAGCGGGGCUCCGGGGAGAGCGGGGAACCGCGCCCGAGAGGAGGCAGUCAAGGCCCGGGGCCUGCCCGCUCUGGGAGAGACCCGGUUUCAAUCUUCGGAAGCUGCCUUUGCUGCGUCCUGGAUGCCCAGUGCCUGGCACGGAACGGGCGUUCGAUGAAGGGUAAAACAGGUCUCCAGCGUGGCUAAGACCCCAUUGAGACUGAUGGGCUCAACGUCGGAAGGACCCCAGGGGCACUCACAGUCUGGUAGACAACCCAGCUUCGGAAGCGAGCCCCAGAGAUGACUCUGGUCGUAUUCUGUCGAGUAAAAAAAGCAAACAGCCUCCUUCCCAAGGGCGACAGCCAUCUGUCCUACGUGCACCUGAGGUCAAGGCCCCAUGGACACCAGCGCUGCUCUAACGGAAGAGGCAUUUUUAAGAGAGGAAAGUGGGCAUAUGUUAAUACUCGACUUUCUCCUGAAGUAGCGUGAUCUAGUGGGAAAAGUAUGGGUAAUGAAUGGCUGGUGAGACAGGAACCUUGCUUGGUGUCCUGGCUCUGCCUCAGCUUCAGUGCAAAGCUCGUGAUGGGCACUUAGCUCCGUGAGGCAAGAAACUUAGAUUCUGGGAGCCUUGAUUUCCUUCCAUAAAUUCUAGAUAAAAUAGCUAUUAUAGAGUUGGGAGUAGUAGUAUGAGAAAUACAUGUACAUUUCCUAACGUGGUGUGGCACAAAAUCUUAAGUCUCCCUUUGCCCUUCUAUCUCUCAUUCUCCUCUAUUGUAUUUAUUUCAGUUCCUGUCUUAUCUUCCCGUGGAAAUUCUAAGUUCUUUGGACUGCCUUGUGUAUUAUGAAUCGUCCCUUCACAGUGCCUAGCAUGCAGUCGGCGCUCAAUUGACCGAGUGACUUAACGUCUUCUCCCCCUUUAUGAGACUGAUUUUGAGAGUAAAACAGUACGAUAGAUGUGCAUACACUUUUCUAACAUAAAAUAGCCAUAAAAGUGUAAGGAUACAAGCUGCAGCGCUUAAAACCCUAAAAAACAGGGUCUUUUCCCAAUAUAUUGAGGGCCCAGUAUAUUUG
Molecule: long non-coding RNA, 1194 nt
Filed under: Equus caballus (horse)
Lineage: Eukaryota; Metazoa; Chordata; Mammalia; Perissodactyla; Equidae
Description: lncRNA (ENSECAG00000030225.2)
Source: RNAcentral